Molecule: ribosomal RNA, 1107 nt
Filed under: uncultured bacterium
Lineage: Bacteria
Description: bacterial SSU rRNA
Rfam family: Bacterial small subunit ribosomal RNA
Source: RNAcentral
AGAGUUUGAUCCUGGCUCAGAUUGAACGCUGGCGGCAGGCCUAACACAUGCAAGUCGAACGGUAACAGGAAACAGCUUGCUGUUUCGCUGACGAGUGGCGGACGGGUGAGUAAUGUCUGGGAAACUGCCUGAUGGAGGGGGAUAACUACUGGAAACGGUAGCUAAUACCGCAUAACGUCGCAAGACCAAAGAGGGGGACCUUCGGGCCUCUUGCCAUCAGAUGUGCCCAGAUGGGAUUAGCUAGUAGGUGGGGUAACGGCUCACCUAGGCGACGAUCCCUAGCUGGUCUGAGAGAAUGACCAGCCACACUGGAACUGAGACACGGUCCAGACUCCUACGGGAGGCAGCAGUGGGGAAUAUUGCACAAUGGGCGCAAGCCUGAUGCAGCCAUGCCGCGUGUAUGAAGAAGGCCUUCGGGUUGUAAAGUACUUUCAGCGGGGAGGAAGGGAGUAAAGUUAAUACCUUUGCUCAUUGACGUUACCCGCAGAAGAAGCACCGGCUAACUCCGUGCCAGCAGCCGCGGUAAUACGGAGGGUGCAAGCGUUAAUCGGAAUUACUGGGCGUAAAGCGCACGCAGGCGGUUUGUUAAGUCAGAUGUGAAAUCCCCGGGCUCAACCUGGGAACUGCAUCUGAUACUGGCAGGCUUGAGUCUCGUAGAGGGGGGUAGAAUUCCAGGUGUAGCGGUGAAAUGCGUAGAGAUCUGGAGGAAUACCGGUGGCGAAGGCGGCCCCCUGGACGAAGACUGACGCUCAGGUGCGAAAGCGUGGGGAGCAAACAGGAUUAGAUACCCUGGUAGUCCACGCCGUAAACGAUGUCGACUUGGAGGUUGUGCCCUUGAGGCGUGGCUUCCGGAGCUAACGCGUUAAGUCGACCGCCUGGGGAGUACGGCCGCAAGGUUAAAACUCAAAUGAAUUGACGGGGGCCCGCACAAGCGGUGGAGCAUGUGGUUUAAUUCGAUGCAACGCGAAGAACCUUACCUGGUCUUGACAUCCACGGAAGUUUUCAGAGAUGAGAAUGUGCCUUCGGGAACCGUGAGACAGGUGCUGCAUGGCUGUCGUCAGCUCGUGUUGUGAAAUGUUGGGUUAAGUCCCGCAACGAGCGCAACCC